GGAUAUUUUCCUGACCCCUUCAUGAGACUUGUGACAGGGGUUCCUUGUUUACUCAGCCCUGCAGCUCUCAACGCCUUGCAGGAGGUAGCAUAGAAGCGAACAAGGCGGGAACUGGAGUGCCCAAGUGUUGGAACAAGCUGGCUGCUUCGGUGCUGGCAGGGGCAAACUCCAAUCACUGGGACCCGCUACAUUCCACCCCUCACGGAAGGGAGCACGCAGAACAAUUUAGAAAUUGAUCUGCAACUGAUGGAAGCUGGGAUGAAUUGGGCGCAUAAGUGAACCCAAAGCAUCAGAGCAAAGUCAAAGCGAACAUCUGGCUCCAGCUUUGAGUACAAGAAAGGAAGGAAGAAAGAACAUGCUGGAAGCAGAGCAAAGAAGAGAGACUUGUGUUUCCAUGGAAUAAUCUUGGGAUCCAUGUGGAGUGCAAGAGAUUGGAACAGAAGGAGUUCUCAAAAAAUAAAAACUUCGGGCGGGUGCGGUGGCUCACGCCUGUAAUCCCAGGACUUUGGGAGGCCGAGGUGGGCGGAUCACGAGGU
RNAcentral lists this long non-coding RNA (536 nucleotides) under Homo sapiens (human). RNAcentral's name for it is "HSALNT0047666". The record is from RNAcentral. Lineage: Eukaryota; Metazoa; Chordata; Mammalia; Primates; Hominidae.